UAUACCGCCCGUCGGCCGGUCGCCGUGGCGACGAGGGUCCCGGUCGGCGAUUGGCCGAGCGUUUGAUGUUUUGCGGCGAGAAGUGCUGAGUGGGCCGGGCCGGGCCGGGCCGGGCCGGGCCCCCCUCCCCCCCUAUUAUGAUUGGCAGCCGGUGUUUGUGCACUGAAGCUUCUAGCGUCCGGCUUGCCAGCUCGCCAUUCUAGUGCAGCGCAGCGCCACGCCGGCCCACAACAUAACCCAUGUGCGGGGUCAACUGGUAAGAACGCUCGCGGGGAUUCGGGGGGCGCAUUUAUCGUUAUUAUUUUAGCCGCCGCGCCUUUCUGCCUCAAGUGCGCGGGCGCGAGAUAGAUUGCGUUUUUUUUGGCCAAUCACAUUUCUGAUGCCUUGUGUUGCCAUGACGAUGCAAUCCGCCCGGGGCCUCGACGGCAACCGGUGGCGCCGGCACAGGGAAGUCAAAGUAUAUUCGCAAUUUUAUCAACGUCGAGCAGGCGGGACUUUUCCUGUCUUUCGAUUGGAUGUUCAGAGCAAACGGAGAGAAGUUCUUAUUUGAAUCCCAAACAUUCUCAAAUAAGUGAGGACAUACUGUCAAUUUGUGUUUUCGGGGGUCCCCCCUCCCCACAAAAAUAAAAAAGAAGCCAUCUAUCAAAAGGGAAGGAUGCCGGGAAAAGGACGCCACAAGUUGAGAAACGGACCCGCGCGCAUUUGUAGUCUCCUGAGCCUUGAAAACGCGUCUCGGAGGUCGCGCUGCGUUCGGGGGAAGGGGGAGGGGAGGGGAAAAGCCGACGUCAGCAGUUGACUUUGAUGGGAAUACACCAGAAGCGGGCGGGCGGGCGAGCGAGCGGGCGACGGGGGGAAGUUCUUGCGCCAGUGACCGGAGCCGCUGCCUCGUGCAGGUUUCCAAAAGGAACGCUGCUGAGGAGCUGGCUGACCAAGUCCAGGCCCCGCCUCCUGCUGCUCAUCGCCGGCCUCAAGCGACCUCAGGUGACCCUGAUGAGGAGGAAGAGGAUGAAGAGAACCAAAGUAGCCAAGGCCACGUAAGCGGACGUGCAGCAGGACGCCCCACUUCGCCUGAGGCCGCGGCAAACCACCCGCGAGAUGGCUCCCCGCCGACUUCUUCUGUGUCGUCAAAGCUGUUCGUGCUGCUGACGCCAGAAAAAGUCCAAACGUUGACCUUGAAAGGGACACGCCAGUCAGCUAGCUAGCUAGCCUGCUAACGUCUUUGUGUUUGGAAGCAUUCGCUCAUUCUCCAACCAAAAAAAAACAAA
Syngnathoides biaculeatus (alligator pipefish) is the source of this 1265-nucleotide long non-coding RNA. RefSeq lists it as uncharacterized. The transcript has 2 exons. Lineage: Eukaryota; Metazoa; Chordata; Actinopteri; Syngnathiformes; Syngnathidae. The record is from RefSeq and is a predicted model, not a curated record.